This is a long non-coding RNA of Acanthochromis polyacanthus (spiny chromis), 505 nucleotides long. RefSeq lists it as uncharacterized. The record is from RefSeq and is a predicted model, not a curated record. The transcript is spliced from 3 exons. Lineage: Eukaryota; Metazoa; Chordata; Actinopteri; Pomacentridae.
AAAUGGUGACUUGUCAUCAAAGGGCGUGUCUGUGGCGGCCAAACCAAUUUCGAUGUUUCGCCAUGAAAAUUUAACGAUUCAUAUCUCAGCUGAACAACAUCCUAUCUGCCUCAGACUUCACAUGCUGGAUACCAGGUCCAGUCUGAACACAUCCACACUCAUAAAUUUUGAAAAAGUCAUAGCGCCACCUGUUGGUAAUAGUAAGUUUAAGGCCUUAUAUUUUCAGGUACAAUGGCCCCAAACUUGGUGAUAUCAUGCUGGAAAUUGGUCAGUUGAGUCUUCACCUCUUGACAAUCACACACUGUGAAGGGUGUGACAUUUCAUGCAACGCUGUUGCCGUAGCAACCAAAUAUCGCCAUGAAAAACAAAGCCCUUUCUGACAGGUUAGGAAUACUCCAAUGCUCACAAAAAUUACCACACACAUCACCAUUGACCCAAGGAACAACACUGUAUGCAUCUCGGCACUGCACAUGCUAUAGCGCCCCCUACAGUAUUUUUAACAAAC